This 599-nucleotide long non-coding RNA is filed under the name Monodelphis domestica (gray short-tailed opossum). RNAcentral describes it as "lncRNA (ENSMODG00000044808.1)". The record is from RNAcentral. Lineage: Eukaryota; Metazoa; Chordata; Mammalia; Didelphimorphia; Didelphidae.
AGAGCAACCUUCAACUUAAAAAUAAUGCAAUUUUCACUGAAGGAUACAGAACUGAAGGACAGGUAGAAAUGGAGCUGAGGAAACAUUGUAAGACUGACCUUUGCACAAGUGAAGCAUAGAUCAAGGACUUUUAGGCUCACCCAAAUUUGAGCAUGACCAUGGACCAUGCAGACUCCAAAUAUAAGUGGGAUUCUCUCUGGUAACCAUCAGGAACCUAAAGAGAACCUGGAACUAUGUAUCUUCCCUGUCAAAGCUGAAAGCCAAAAGAUCGUGUUCUCUCUUCUCCUAACUCUUGUCAACUCCAACCCUUAUACUGAACAUUGACUAAUCAGUCUCCAUACAAGAAAGUUCCAUGCAAAUGGGCUUUGAAGUAUGUGUGUGUGCGUGUUUAAAGGAAAGGGAGCUUUACCCUCAAGACUCUCUGUUUAUGUGACAUAUAAAACCUGAGAAGAUUUUUCUUUCUCAUGGAGUCAGUGCUCCAAAAUUGGAGAUCAUCAGUAUCUACCAAUAUAAAAUAAGACUAAAUGGAUUGUAAGAGGUCAUAGAAAUAUUAAUGAAUUUGGAAUAAAAAAAAUCCCGUUUUGAAUCUAGCUUCUCUU